This 1953-nucleotide ribosomal RNA is filed under the name Triticum aestivum (bread wheat). Its description in RNAcentral is "partial small subunit ribosomal RNA". Lineage: Eukaryota; Viridiplantae; Streptophyta; Magnoliopsida; Poales; Poaceae. The record is from RNAcentral.
AUGGAAAUAAAAAAGAUCCGGCCUUCCCCAAGGCUUGGUUCCGACUUUCUUGGAUGGGCACAUGAAAAAAGUGGACAAUUCUCCGUCAAAAGCGCUUAUAGGCUGGCUUAUGAGGAACUCCACAGUGCAUCGAUUAGUUCUUCGGGUACCAACUCACAAGGGGGGCGACAAAUAUGGAAAGCUAUUUGGUCUGCACUGGGCCCACCAAAAGUCCUCUCUUUUGGUUGGAGACUAGCAACGAACAGUUUGGCAACUUGGAGUAACAAGAUGAAAAGAAACAUGGCAGUGAGCACCACUUGCCUGAUUUGCGGUCUGGAGGAGGAAGAUACCUUCCAUGUCUUCUGCUCCUGCCCUAAUGCGCGACAACUAUGGAAUGCACUGCUCGUGGAUUGGUCACUACCAGCUUUACAAUCCAUUAGUACGACCGGGGAAGAUUGGUUCUUGGUGUUUUUCUGCAAUCUGAAUGAAGAAAUGAGAGUACGUGUCCUGCUGUUGUUUUGGAGGAUGUGGUAUGUUAGGAACGAGAUUGUGCAUUCAAAACCAGCUCCCCCAGUUGAUGUGUCUAAGAGGUUUUUGAGCAGCUACCUUGACACUCUCUACUCCAUUAGUGCAGACCCGUUUGAUUCAAUCAAAGGAAAAGCAGUCACUACCAUGUGUUUCCCACAUGUGGAUCCAGCAUGCAAUAAUAGGCCACAACCUGCUGAUAUUUUGUGGUCGCGACCUGUGAUUGGCAGAAAUAAAUUAAAUGUUGAUGGUUCCUUCCUCAACAAUGAAGCAGGAGCAGCUCUGGCAGUCCGACGGUUCUGUGACCUGGAUCCCCUCGACCCGAAAGCGACCUUGACAGUAUCGAGCAUAAUGCAGGCAAUUGGAUCGGUGAACCGAAGUAUUAGGUCCGAACCUCGUACCCUCGUCUCAAGGGAAAACGUUGUGCCUAACAGCCGAUCCUCCCUUGUUGGGCUCGGCAGCUUGUCAACGGCCAGAAGGGGAAGCCACGGAGAACGACCGCAGCCCAAAUCUAAUCGCAUAUCCGCUCUCCCUGUGCACCACGCGUCGUUGUGGCCCCGCCCAACGCUCCAAUCACCUCCACCUUAUCUUCUCCCAGGAAGCAUAUCCUCCACUGGAUUCUUUCUAUUUCCCUUCUCUCGGUCGUCAACCUGCAGAGGAAAAGCAAGCAGCAACACCGCAUCGGAGGAUGCGACGCCCGUCGGCACGUCGUCUGAUUCAUCCUCGGCUGCAAUAGAGCUCCGCUGUGGCUGCAUUGAAGCGCCACCGGAGCUACAUGGUACCUUCCGCCGCCGUUGUCACGCGCUGCGUCGCAACUUUCACCAUCGCCGGCGCUGCAAUGGAGGGUCCUCGGAGCUCCGCUGCGGCUGCAAUGGAGCUUCGCCGCGGCUGCAAUGGAGCACCGUCAGGUCAUCGGAGCUCCGCCAUGGCUGCAAUGGAGCACCGUCGCGGCUUCAAUGGAGCUUCACCGUGGCUGCAUUGGAGCACCGUCGGGGUCGUCGGAGCUCCGCCGCGGCUUCAAUGGAGCUUCACCGCAGCUACAAUGGAGCACCGUCGGGGUCGUCGGAGCGCCGCCGCGGCUUCAAUGGAGCUUCGUCGCGGCUGCAAUGGAGCACCGUCGGGGUCGUCGGAGCUCCGUCGCGGCUUCAAUGGAACUUCACCGUGGCUGCAAUGGAGCACCGUCGGGGUCACUGGAGCUUCGCCCAGGAUGUUGUCGGUGUUGCUUUGAAGCUUUUUUUGCAGCCCUCGUAUCUCCGGCGGCUCCGGUGCUACGAGGUCGCCGGCACAAGUGCCAUCCGUUGCUUUUGCUACACCAUCGCUGUGUUCAGAGGAGGCGUGGUGUGGAUUGACGACGGAUUGUUGCAUCUUCACUGCAGAGGAGGACGCGGCCAGGAUGGGCUGCGAUCGAACAUCACCAGCGCCGGAUCGGACGGCUGGUUAGGUGGAUGA